CACUCUGCUCCUCACACCCUCCAGCUCUAAAGCAAUGGACUCAUCGCCGCCGCCGAUAGAUGGGACAUGCCGUGCUCUGAUAGGCCGGAUCUGAGCCGUGACUUGUUUGCUCCACCAAUCAGCAUGCAGUCAGGUUGCAAGAGGUGAGAGUCACUUCUACAAAACACACACAUCACAGUGACGCAAAAAUAACAGUGUUUUUCCAGACCCACAUUUGUACUGUCACGUUCAUUCCCAUAAAUCCAGCUUUCGUUUUUUUCUUUUUUUCCUCAGAUUUCUCAUUAGACGUCACUGUUUAUCCCUGGUGAUUCACCGACACUCCUCCUGCUAAUCCUCCUACUGCGGGGACACUUGUGUAUUUGAAAAUGUAACCCUCAUACAGAGCAACACUUGCACACCUGCUGAUGUGAGAGUGUGUGCUUGUGUGUGUUUUUACCUUGGAUGAGAGCUCUGUGGUUGUCCACUAAGCAUCCGACCUCCUCAGGGUUUUAGACCCAUCAGCAGAACUUUCUCAUCAAGGCCCCCAAAGAGCUGAAAGAGGGAGGUUGUUCAGUGAUGGGAAAGUCUCCAAAAGUGGCCAAACUGGAG
Xyrichtys novacula (pearly razorfish) is the source of this 588-nucleotide non-coding RNA. The record is from the annotation of a GenBank genome assembly. NCBI's taxonomy places the organism in Eukaryota, Metazoa, Chordata, Actinopteri, Labriformes, Labridae.